CCUACGGGUGGCAGCAGUGGGGAAUAUUGGACAAUGGGCGAAAGCCUGAUCCAGCCAUGCCGCGUGUGUGAAGAAGGCCUUCGGGUUGUAAAGCACUUUCAGUGGGGAAGAAAGCCUUGGGGCUAAUACCCUCGAGGAAGGACAUCACCCACAGAAGAAGCACCGGCUAACUCCGUGCCAGCAGCCGCGGUGAUACGGAGGGUGCGAGCGUUAAUCGGAAUUACUGGGCGUAAAGCGCGCGUAGGCGGUCUAAUAAGCCGGUUGUGAAAGCCCCGGGCUCAACCUGGGAACGGCAUCCGGAACUGUCAGGCUAGAGUGCAGGAGAGGAAGGUAGAAUUCCCGGUGUAGCGGUGAAAUGCGUAGAGAUCGGGAGGAAUACCAGUGGCGAAGGCGGCCUUCUGGACUGACACUGACGCUGAGGUGCGAAAGCGUGGGUAGCAAACAGGAUUAGAUCCCUUGUAGUC
Molecule: ribosomal RNA, 464 nt
Filed under: Vreelandella stevensii
Lineage: Bacteria; Pseudomonadati; Pseudomonadota; Gammaproteobacteria; Oceanospirillales; Halomonadaceae
Description: partial 16S ribosomal RNA
Rfam family: Bacterial small subunit ribosomal RNA
Source: RNAcentral